This 592-nucleotide long non-coding RNA is filed under the name Homo sapiens (human). RNAcentral's name for it is "POT1 antisense RNA 1". The record is from RNAcentral. Lineage: Eukaryota; Metazoa; Chordata; Mammalia; Primates; Hominidae.
AGCUGCGUAACGGUUCACACACUGAUGGCGCCUGGAGGUUUGGCGAAAUACUGACAGGAUGCGACGUCAACGGGAGCGCAGGGCCAAGAUACCCUUUAUAUCAAACCGUCUAUCCUGGAGCAGAAAAAUCCUGUCUUCAUUGCUAUAGCUACAGAUUCAGAAAUGAGCAUGUAACAAAUUCAGGCCAAAGAGAGGCAAUGGAAAUCAGAGAAACACUGUUCCUGAAAGCUUCUGUCACUCAAGAAUCCAUGAAACAUUCAUGAACUUCACAUCAGAAGCCAAGCCCAGAAAAUAUGGGUUUAAGGUUUGCCUAUAUGUCCAAUACAAGAGAAAAAAGAACAUUCCACUUCUUUAGAAGGUUCUACUUUGAUCUCCUGGUGCUAUUGUGGAGGUGCAUACCCAACAGUUUGAUAAUGUAGAGGAAGUGAUAGCUUUGUCUCGUGGAAUCUGGGUCGACCUCACAGAGGAGCUGUUAUUUGUUCUGGAUAUUGAACAGUGACAAGGAUUCAGUGGGAGAGAAAGAGGCGAGGAUUUUAAUGCAACUUGUUACACAAGAUGAACCCAAACAUAUUUGACUUUUUAUUUUCAGAAA